Molecule: non-coding RNA, 1470 nt
Organism: Phasianus colchicus (ring-necked pheasant)
Lineage: Eukaryota; Metazoa; Chordata; Aves; Galliformes; Phasianidae
Source: RefSeq, a predicted model, not a curated record
GGACCAGCAGGCUUCUGCAGAGCUGAAAAGCCAGACCUGCAGAGAUUAAUUAAAAUAAGAGCAAUGAAGUUGGAGCUCAGAGCUGCAGUGAUGGAUGCUAGUGAAACACUUGCCCAGAGACCAACAUGCUCCGUGGUGUUUUUCUCCAGCUGAAGAACUGUGCAAUAGUUACACACGUGGUGUAAAGGAACCUGCUGCUGCCAUUUGGGUGCAGGUGCCCUGUGAGGAUGCUCUGUCCCCGUUGGGAUUUGCACCUCCAAGCUGCCAGCGUUGAUAACCUUUUUCCUGCUGCCCAACAUGCUUAUCUGCUGCAGACAGACUGGCAAGAUGAACAGGAAAGCUGAUACCUUAUCUCUCCCUCUCAAGGAGCUUAUUUAAGUGCUGGAAUGCGUCGCAAUGGUAAAUGAUUGUUACAAUCCAAGUGAGGUAUAUGGACCUACCAACAGGCCCUGCUGGGAAGCAGCACCCAUUUAGGAAGGAGACCCACAAGACUACAAGAUUUCAAGGCUAUUCCAUCUUUUAUCUACCUAAAGACAUCUCCUAAAAUGCAAAACAUUUGCUUAAAACCAAAGGCAUGUGCUCCACUCCAGCCUGCGGUUUAACACUGUUGGCUGCUCCCGGCAGCAUGUGGUUCCUGUGUCUCUCUGAUAUGGCCUAUCUCUGUUUGUCUGCUCAGCACUGAGCGAGGGGCACGGCGAGGGUUAUUGCCAUAUCUGCAUAGCACCACACUGUUCCUGCUUUCCCUUCCAUCCAGGCUCAGCGCAGGAAACGGUAAGAUGCUAACACGUCCAUAAAGGUAGAUAGACUGGAGAACUAUUGGGCUAAUUGGAAUGAGCUGGGCUUAGCUGCUCAGACAGCCCAACACAAAGGAAUGAGACCGCUCCAGGGAUGCAGAACACAGCAGAGCCUCAGCACUUCACUUCUUUCAGCCACUGCAACUGGCAGCAAUAGCAAUUGCAGGCACCGGGGGCUGAGCACUGUGACAGCAGAGGGGACAGGGAAAGCCCGUGCUGUCAGUGUGAUGUCCCCAACAGCUGCUGCGGAGGGGUGUGAUGGGGUAUUUUGGUCCUGUCCUCGGUGGAAAAAGAGACGGUGAUGCUGGGUGCCAGGAGCACUGCUGGGACAGGGUUCGGGGCUCAGGUUGCUCCUGCUGCUCCAGGCACACAGCAGCCUCUGGAGAAAUCGCACCUUGGCAAUGCACACAGCUGCCAUGGGCUGCUGCAUCGGAAAGUUAAUCAGUUCCACAUCACUGACCGCUUUUCCAUUGCAAAGCAGAAGGAAUUGCCAUACAAGAGCAGAGCUCAGCUUGCCCACAUUGCAGGGCUGAGGGCUUCAGCAGAAGCACAGGUGACAUUGUGGUAGCCAGGAUGAGACAAGGCACUUUCUGGGACAUCUGACCUCCAAUCUGCAGCUUUCAUCCCCCACAAAACUCUUACAAUUAGACAGAGCAAUGUGCACGUCUGCAAGAUC